CCUACGGGUGGCUGCAGUCGAGAAUCAUUCACAAUGGGGGAAACCCUGAUGGUGCGACGCCGCGUGGGGGAAUGAAGGUCUUCGGAUUGUAAACCCCUGUCAUGUGGGAGCAAAUUAAAAAGAUAGUACCACAAGAGGAAGAGACUGCUAACUCUGUGCCAGCAGCCGCGGUAAUACAGAGGUCUCAAGCGUUGUUCGGAAUCACUGGGCGUAAGGCGUGCGGAGGCUGUUUCGUAAGUCGUGUGUGAAAGGCGCGGGCUCAACCCGCGGACGGCACAUGAUACUGCGAGACUAGAGUAAUGGAGGGGGAACCGGAAUUCUCGGUGUAGCAGUGAAAUGCGUAGAUAUCGAGAGGAACACUCGUGGCGAAGGCGGGUUCCUGGACAUUAACUGACGCUGAGGCACGAAGGCCAGGGGAGCGAAAGGGAUUAGAUACCCUGGUAGUC
RNAcentral lists this ribosomal RNA (446 nucleotides) under uncultured bacterium. RNAcentral's name for it is "partial 16S ribosomal RNA". It matches the Rfam family "Bacterial small subunit ribosomal RNA", at positions 338 to 795 of the family's 1533-position model. The record is from RNAcentral.